GAGCUGAGAAGGACUCGUGGGUAGAGUUCCUGGGUGGCUGGAGAGAUGGACAGAGCACUGUGAAUGAAGAGUGGGGCACUGUGUCUAAGUCUGUCUAUAUAGUGGACAACAAGAAGGGGAGCUCAGUCUACAGCUGGGAGAUAUGAUCAACGUCAUGCAGAAGACUCCAGAUGGGUUUGUGGAAGGCCACAGGGUACA
Molecule: long non-coding RNA, 198 nt
Organism: Carassius auratus (goldfish)
Lineage: Eukaryota; Metazoa; Chordata; Actinopteri; Cypriniformes; Cyprinidae
Exons: 3
Source: RefSeq, a predicted model, not a curated record